RNAcentral lists this long non-coding RNA (217 nucleotides) under Lathyrus oleraceus (garden pea). Its description in RNAcentral is "Pisum sativum (pea) long non-coding RNA (PSAT_LNC027439)". Lineage: Eukaryota; Viridiplantae; Streptophyta; Magnoliopsida; Fabales; Fabaceae. The record is from RNAcentral.
ACCCUUGAAAAGGGAAAGGUUCCAAAAAAAUCAUUUGUCACAAAUUACAAAAACAAAAACCAAAAGAUAUUUAAUUUUCUAUGGUGGUGUCGUCUCCUCGCUAGUAAUGGCAUUCCCUCGUAUUUAAGAAGUGGUGUGGCCUUCUCUUCUCCCCGGGUCUCUUCAACCCCCCACGUCCACUUUAAUCAAAUUCCCAUCUUUGAUCACUUUAUAAACC